This is a long non-coding RNA of Cebus imitator (Panamanian white-faced capuchin), 688 nucleotides long. RefSeq lists it as uncharacterized. The transcript is spliced from 4 exons. The record is from RefSeq and is a predicted model, not a curated record. Lineage: Eukaryota; Metazoa; Chordata; Mammalia; Primates; Cebidae.
GCGGCUCCUUCCUCUCGGAGCCUUGUGUUUCCAGCCGGAACGUAUUCGCAAAGGACCCAAAACACGACCCUGCUUCCCAGGGACUUCCCCUAGAAGUCAUGGCUCGGGCCUUCCCUAAAAGCAAUCUCACUGGCCACCGUUUAUGCUGGGCUGGACCAGAGAGGCAGCCCGAAUAGCUGACCCAACCCGAGCAGGAUCCGCCAGCCCCAGCGUGGAGGAGCUUGGAGAAAGAGCGGAUCGCUGAAGUUCAUCAGGGAAUUAAAACCAGGCACUUGUUCAUUAAAAGAGAGAGAGAGAGAUCUGAGGAUUCCCCAUGACUUAUUUCCUCUGGAAAGCCACUUUUGACUUCUGCCUACCUCCAUCUCCCAGGCAGAGUGAGGCACCCCUGCAGCUCCUCUCCUGUGUGGCUUUUAGGCCAUUCUUUCUAGAGGAAUCCUAAUGCUCUCACCAAAUGGUGUUCCCCUGCAGCUCAGAACCCUCCCAUGAUGCCCCAGUGCCUCUGGCACAAAGUCCAAGUUCUUUAGUCAGGUACUUGUAGAUAUCUCCACCAGCAUCGUCUCUUGCUUGGUACAUUGUCUGUGCUCAGUUGCCCUGAAAAAUGAAUAGUUCGUGGCCAGCAUGGUGGCUCACACCUGUAAUUCCAGCAUACUGGGAAGUCAAGGCAGGAGGACUGCUUGUGCCCAAGAGU